Unclassified non-coding RNA from Aotus nancymaae (Ma's night monkey), 297 nucleotides. It matches the Rfam family "Metazoan signal recognition particle RNA". From Rfam's summary of the family: The signal recognition particle (SRP) is a universally conserved ribonucleoprotein. It is involved in the co-translational targeting of proteins to membranes. NCBI's taxonomy places the organism in Eukaryota, Metazoa, Chordata, Mammalia, Primates, Aotidae. The record is from Ensembl.
GCCAGGUGCAGUGGCGCGUGCCUGUAGUCCCAGCUACUCGGGAGGCUGAGGCUGGAGGAUCACUUGAGUCCAGGAGUUCUGCUGUAGUGCACUAUGCCAAUCGGGUGUCCACACUAAGUUCGGCAUCAAUAUGGUGGCCUCACAGGAGCGGGGGACCACCAGGUUGCCUAAGGAGGGGUGAACUGGCCCAGGUUGGAAACAGAGCAGGUCAAAACUCCCAUGCUGAUCAGUAGUGGGACUGAGCCUGUGAAUAGCCACUGCACUCCAGCCUGGGCAACAUAGCGAGACCCCUUCUCU